This 1636-nucleotide long non-coding RNA is filed under the name Helianthus annuus (common sunflower). RNAcentral describes it as "hypothetical non coding rna". Lineage: Eukaryota; Viridiplantae; Streptophyta; Magnoliopsida; Asterales; Asteraceae. The record is from RNAcentral.
GACCACCAAAAUGUCACAUUACACAUACAUGUUCUUCACUAAAAUGAAAAUCAAACGUAUGAUGAUAAGAAUAACCAUUGAUUGUUCGAUCUUUAGUGGUGAUGGUUCUUCUUCAACAUCGCGCAAAGACUGUCACAUUCGUCCUUUGAUGGCCAAAUAGUGAAGAAUGUUUGAACACCAUUAAGAGCAAUAACCAACAAAGCUCCAACAAGUGCAAGUGAUGACCAUGGGCUCUUAAAAUACUCCUGCUUAAGUUGAGAAAAGUAUAUAUUCCUUGGGUUUUCAUAGUGCAUUUGGAUACUGUUUUUAGCUUCCAAAUAUGCCAAAUGGUUUGGCACUAAAUCAGUUCCUAUUUGAUUGAACAAUGUUGCGACCUCUUCAUCGCUCCCUAGACAAUUUUCAAGCACCCCGGCUUUGCGAAGACUUGUAACGUCUUCUGGGUGAUCGAUGAGAGUGUCGAGAAGACAUACGUAUGAGGUAACCCAUGCAUCAUAUGCAGCAUCAUCACGUGACGAGCAUGUUUCAUAGGCUAUCAAGUUUAACAACAUCGGCUUUGUGGAAUCAUUGACGGUUAUUGGAGGGAGAUUAACAUCCGCUGAAAACCACCACUUGGAUUUUCGGAACUCAAUGUGAGCGAGAGACAUUGUGCUACUCGGCUUGAAAUGAAUCCCUAAAUUCUUGAGCUCGGUAACAUUCCGAAAAGUGCACCUGCACUUAGGGGUGUUCAGUAUUGGAUUUGAAACCAAUAAAACUGAAGUACAAGUGCAUUUUUUGGUUUUACAAAAUAAAUCAAAUAACCCAUAUAACGAAUAGAGGUUAUUUAAAAUAUGUCAUUUAGCCCAAUCUUAUUUAGCACAACCCAAAACAAGUAAUGCUAAAAAUGUUAUAAAAAAUAAAAAUAAUGAAUAAAGUAAAAGAAGUUAAUAGGUUUAUUCACUUGAAACCGAAAACCAGACCGAAUGUAGUCAGUUCGGUUUGACCUUACUGAAUUUGGUUCGGUUUUCGGUUACCACUGAAUAUAAUCCCAACCCGAAUGACCCGAAAACCGAACAAACAAACACCAUACCUGCACUUGUUACUUUGAGACCAAUCAUUAACUUCUGGUAACCUUUUUUCUGUAAGACUACGAUGUAGUAGAUCCAGAAGAUGAUCUGGCUGUUCAACAUCAAUCAUCUCUCUUAACUGUUCUUGAUAAACCGGAUGAUUUCUUGUACAAAACAUUGAUCUAAACCACCAUGUCUUUGGCCUCUGGGUUGCCAAAAUAUUAUCAUAUAUAAAGGGUUUAAUCUUAUUACAAUCGAUAUGUAACAGAUUCAUCACUUUUGUUAGAACAACAAAUGGUAUUUGAUUUUCAAGAAGAAACAUAUCUUGAUAGACAAAUGCAUCAUAGUUUUCUUCAACUCUUGACGAUUUUCGGGUUGGCCAAAGAUGAAGAGAAGGUAAUAUAAUAUAAAACAUGCAUCUAAUAACAUCAUCUGAAUGAAUACCUUAUUUUCAAACUCAUUUGUAGAGUUUGUUUCAUAAUAGUUUCUUAAAUCUUGUACCAUAGUAUGUUCACUAAGGUUUCUGUACAAAACCCUUAGGGUUUCUUCAUUGUUUGAAACGAGUUUCAUCGUAAAAACCGGCUUUAGGUUCU